CGGGAAAGGCAGACUCCCCGUCAGACGGCUUACGUCCAAGCUCUGC
RNAcentral lists this non-coding RNA (46 nucleotides) under unclassified sequences. RNAcentral's name for it is "chromate-resist RNA". It matches the Rfam family "chrB-b RNA". The record is from RNAcentral.